AUGAGCAGCCAACUGCCGCCACUGCCGCCGGCUGCGCCAGCAGCGAAACCUCCGUCGAUCCCCUCCACGGCCACUACCACUACUCUCGCUACCGCCGCCGAUGGAACCACCACCAUAUCCUUGCUUGGCCAAGACCAGCUCCUCGAGAUCUUCCUCCGCCUGCCGAGCCUGCCGGCCCUCGCCCGUGCCGCGCUCACUUGCCGCUCGUGGCUCGGCGCCGUCCGCUCCUCCCGGUCCUUCCGCAGCCUCUUCCGCGCCCUCCACCCGGCGCCCCUCGUUGGGAUCUUCCUCGAACUCGACGAGGGCGCCGUCCGAUCCUUCGCCCCCUUCCGCUGCUCAGAUCCCGACGUCACCGCCGCACUCCGCCGCGGCGACUUCUUCCUCACCUCCCUCACUGCCGAGGACGACCCGCACGCCGUCUGCUGGGAAAUGAUGGACUGCCGCGACGGUUACAUCCUCCUGUGGAACAUGGUGUCCGUCGCUGUCAUGAACCCUAUGACCUGGGCCGUGAACAUCAUCCCGGUGCCCGAGGAGGCUAGAGAAGGCAGUCUCCUUGAUUCCGCCUCCGUUGAGUUCCAUCUGCUGUCUUCAGAGGAGAACCCCUGGUCGUUCAGCGUGGUCUUCUUGUGCGCACACAUAUCUAGGCUUCAGGCCAUCGUCUUCUCGUCGGAAACGAGGGAUUGGGUCGUCCACCCUUGGAUGGAAAUCGGCGGUGAAUUCAGCAUGAUGUUCAGUGCUGCCACACUGCUGGGUGGUUAUAUUUAUCGGCCUCUCUAUGGCGAAGGACGCGUGAUCAGGAUAAACAUAGCCACCAUGGAUGUCUCCUCUCUGUAUCUACCCUCGUUGGCAACAGACGGUGUUUCCAUGGGGGAUACCGAGGAUGGAAAGCUCUGCAUGGUCUAUGCAUCAACUGAUGAUCUUCUUCUCCAUGUUUGGAUCCGCAGCGGGGACGGCGAUGGGAUCGAGAGCUGGGUGCUGCAGGACGUAAUCUCUUUGAGGGCAGAAAUUGAUGAGAUCACUCCUACCCCCUGGGAGUGGCAGGACCAAGUCACAAUUGUGGAAGUCAGGCCUGGAUGUGUGUACUUCUCCAUGACGUGCAUAACUGAUGGCACAGAGCGCAUCUGGUUCUUCUACCUUUCAAUUAAGACCAUGGAGAUUGAGUUGCUGAUGCAAGUCACGUCUCAUGACUAUGCAUGUCCAUAUACUAUGGCUUGGCCUCCUUGUUUGAUUGGUGAUGACAGGAGCACGAAACAUGAGGCUGAAGGAUCCGGCAGUUGUUUGCUGAAGUCCAGUAAUUCUACCAAGCAGAAGCGCAAGUCGUCGAGCCCCGUCGGCCUAGCCAUCGAUUUCAACAGUGCUGAUGCGUCGAGGCAGCCCUUGCAGCCAAACUCUCCAGACUGCAGGUUGCACAAGAAGUGA
This 1419-nucleotide ribosomal RNA is filed under the name Triticum aestivum (bread wheat). Its description in RNAcentral is "partial small subunit ribosomal RNA". Lineage: Eukaryota; Viridiplantae; Streptophyta; Magnoliopsida; Poales; Poaceae. The record is from RNAcentral.